UCCGUAGACGGUAGUGUAAGUUAUUUGUUAAAUCCUAAAGCUCAACUUUAGAAAGCGUUUAAUACUACUUUACUUGAGUUUUGUUCAGAAGAGUAGAAUUCCAUGUUUAGGGAUAACCCCCUUAGAUAUAUGGAGGAACACCUGUAGCGAAGGCGAUUCUUUGGUAAAAAACUGACGUUGAGGGACGAAAGUGUAGGGAGCAAACA
RNAcentral lists this ribosomal RNA (206 nucleotides) under uncultured bacterium. RNAcentral's name for it is "partial 16S ribosomal RNA". It matches the Rfam family "Bacterial small subunit ribosomal RNA", at positions 568 to 774 of the family's 1533-position model. The record is from RNAcentral.